This 311-nucleotide ribosomal RNA is filed under the name uncultured bacterium. Its description in RNAcentral is "bacterial SSU rRNA". It matches the Rfam family "Bacterial small subunit ribosomal RNA", at positions 71 to 384 of the family's 1533-position model. The record is from RNAcentral.
AGAGAGAAGCUUGCUUCUCUAGAAAAAAAAGGACGGGUGAGUAAUGCCUAGGAAUCUGCCUGGUAGUGGGGGAUAACGUUCGGAAACGGACGCUAAUACCGCAUACGUCCUACGGGAGAAAGCAGGGGACCUUCGGGCCUUGCGCUAUCAGAUGAGCCUAGGUCGGAUUAGCUAGUUGGUGAGGUAAUGGCUCACCAAGGCUACGAUCCGUAACUGGUCUGAGAGGAUGAUCAGUCACACUGGAACUGAGACACGGUCCAGACUCCUACGGGAGGCAGCAGUGGGGAAUAUUGGACAAUGGGCGAAAGCCU